RNAcentral lists this transfer RNA (69 nucleotides) under Ictidomys tridecemlineatus (thirteen-lined ground squirrel). Its description in RNAcentral is "Spermophilus tridecemlineatus (thirteen-lined ground squirrel) tRNA". It matches the Rfam family "tRNA". Rfam says of the family: Transfer RNA (tRNA) molecules are approximately 80 nucleotides in length. Their secondary structure includes four short double-helical elements and three loops (D, anti-codon, and T loops). The record is from Rfam by way of RNAcentral. Lineage: Eukaryota; Metazoa; Chordata; Mammalia; Rodentia; Sciuridae.
GGGGCUGUAGCUCAGUGGCAGAGUGCUUGCUUUGCACACAUGAGGUACUGAGUUUGACUCUUAGCACCA